RNAcentral lists this ribosomal RNA (253 nucleotides) under uncultured bacterium. RNAcentral's name for it is "partial 16S ribosomal RNA". It matches the Rfam family "Bacterial small subunit ribosomal RNA", at positions 524 to 776 of the family's 1533-position model. The record is from RNAcentral.
UACGUAGGGUGCGAGCGUUAAUCGGAAUUACUGGGCGUAAAGUGUGCGCAGGCGGCAGAGCAAGUCGAGUGUGAAAGCCCCGGGCUUAACCUGGGAAUGGCCGUCGAAACUGGCGAACUGGAGUGUGGCAGAGGGGGGUGGAAUUCCGCGUGUAGCAGUGAAAUGCGUAGAGAUGCGGAGGAACACCGAUGGCGAAGGCAGCCCCCUGGGCUGACACUGACGCUCAGGCACGAAAGCGUGGGGAGCAAACAGG